Molecule: ribosomal RNA, 466 nt
Filed under: Vreelandella stevensii
Lineage: Bacteria; Pseudomonadati; Pseudomonadota; Gammaproteobacteria; Oceanospirillales; Halomonadaceae
Description: partial 16S ribosomal RNA
Rfam family: Bacterial small subunit ribosomal RNA
Source: RNAcentral
CCUACGGGAGGCUGCAGUGGGGAAUAUUGGACAAUGGGCGAAAGCCUGAUCCAGCCAUGCCGCGUGUGUGAAGAAGGCCUUCGGGUUGUAAAGCACUUUCAGUGGGGAAGAAAGCCUUGGGGCUAAUACCCUCGAGGAAGGACAUCACCCACAGAAGAAGCACCGGCUAUACUCCGUGCCAGCAGCCGCGGUAAUACGGAGGGUGCGAGCGUUAAUCGGAAUUACUGGGCGUAAAGCGCGCGUAGGCGGUCUGAUAAGCCGGUUGUGAAAGCCCCGGGCUCAACCUGGGAACGGCAUCCGGAACUGUCAGGCUAGAGUGCAGGAGAGGAAGGUAGAAUUCCCGGUGUAGCGGUGAAAUGCGUAGAGAUCGGGAGGAAUACCAGUGGCGAAGGCGGCCUUCUGGACUGACACUGACGCUGAGGUGCGAAAGCGUGGGUAGCAAACAGGAUUAGAUACCCGAGUAGUC